CCAAUAGCGUAUAUUAAAGUUGUUGCAGUUAAAAAGCUCGUAGUUGAAUUUCGGGAUCAAUAUGUUGGUCGUGCCUUGGUACGUACUAAUUCAUUGGUUUCUUCCUUCUGACGAACCAUGAUGUCAUUAAUUUGGUGUCUUGGGGAAUCAGGACUGUUACUUUGAAAAAAUUAGAGUGUUUAAAGCAGGCUCACGCUUGAAUACAUUAGCAUGGAAUAAUGAAAUAGGAUGUUUGAUUCUAUUUUGUUGGUUUCUAGGAUCGACGUAAUGAUUAAUAGGGAUAGUUGGGGGGAUUAGUAUUCAAUUGUCAGAGGUGAAAUUCUUGGAUUUAUUGAAGACUAACUACUGCGAAAGCAUUUGCCAAGGAUGUUUUCAUUAAUCAAGAACGAAAGUUAGGGGAUCGAAGACGAUCAGAUACCGUCGUAGUCUUAACCAUAAACUAUGCCGACUAGGGAUCGGAUGAUGUUAAUUUUUUAAUGACUCAUUCGGCGCCUUACG
RNAcentral lists this unclassified non-coding RNA (498 nucleotides) under uncultured Glomus. RNAcentral's name for it is "SSU rRNA". It matches the Rfam family "Eukaryotic small subunit ribosomal RNA", at positions 591 to 1092 of the family's 1831-position model. Lineage: Eukaryota; Fungi; Glomeromycota; Glomeromycetes; Glomerales; Glomeraceae. The record is from RNAcentral.